UGACACAGGGAGGUAGUGACAAGAAAUAACAAUACGGGGCUUGGAGUCUUGUAAUUGGAAUGAUGGGAAUUUAAACCCCUUCCAGAGUAUCAAUUGGAGGGCAAGUCUGGUGCCAGCAGCCGCGGUAAUUCCAGCUCCAAUAGCGUAUAUUAAACUUGUUGCAGUUAAAAAGCUCGUAGUUGAAUUUCUGCUGUUUCGUUGACUGCGUUUGGCGUUUGUCAUCGUUGCGGCUUGGUUGGGUUUCGAUUAUUCGUUUCCCGGCGUUUACUUUGAGAAAAUUAGAGUGCUUGAAGCAGGCUUUUGCCUUGAAUACUUUAGCAUGGAAUAACGGAGUAGGACUUUGGUUCUAUUUUGUUGGUUUUAGGAGCCAGAGUAAUGGUUAAUAGGAACAGUUGGGGGCAUUCGUAUUUAAA
RNAcentral lists this ribosomal RNA (413 nucleotides) under Theileria equi. RNAcentral's name for it is "SSU rRNA". It matches the Rfam family "Eukaryotic small subunit ribosomal RNA", at positions 452 to 902 of the family's 1831-position model. The record is from RNAcentral. Lineage: Eukaryota; Apicomplexa; Aconoidasida; Piroplasmida; Theileriidae.